Molecule: ribosomal RNA, 742 nt
Filed under: Rahnella sp. R5
Lineage: Bacteria; Pseudomonadati; Pseudomonadota; Gammaproteobacteria; Enterobacterales; Yersiniaceae
Description: bacterial SSU rRNA
Rfam family: Bacterial small subunit ribosomal RNA
Source: RNAcentral
UCUGCUCAGAUUGAACGCUGGCGGCAGGCCUAACACAUGCAAGUCGAGCGGCAGCGGAAAGUAGCUUGCUACUUUGCCGGCGAGCGGCGGACGGGUGAGUAAUGUCUGGGAAACUGCCUGAUGGAGGGGGAUAACUACUGGAAACGGUAGCUAAUACCGCAUGACCUCGAAAGAGCAAAGUGGGGGAUCUUCGGACCUCACGCCAUCGGAUGUGCCCAGAUGGGAUUAGCUAGUAGGUGAGGUAAUGGCUCACCUAGGCGACGAUCCCUAGCUGGUCUGAGAGGAUGACCAGCCACACUGGAACUGAGACACGGUCCAGACUCCUACGGGAGGCAGCAGUGGGGAAUAUUGCACAAUGGGCGCAAGCCUGAUGCAGCCAUGCCGCGUGUGUGAAGAAGGCCUUAGGGUUGUAAAGCACUUUCAGCGAGGAGGAAGGCAUCAUACUUAAUACGUGUGGUGAUUGACGUUACUCGCAGAAGAAGCACCGGCUAACUCCGUGCCAGCAGCCGCGGUAAUACGGAGGGUGCAAGCGUUAAUCGGAAUUACUGGGCGUAAAGCGCACGCAGGCGGUUUGUUAAGUCAGAUGUGAAAUCCCCGCGCUUAACGUGGGAACUGCAUUUGAAACUGGCAAGCUAGAGUCUUGUAGAGGGGGGUAGAAUUCCAGGUGUAGCGGUGAAAUGCGUAGAGAUCUGGAGGAAUACCGGUGGCGAAGGCGGCCCCCUGGACAAAGACUGACGCUCAG